This 488-nucleotide ribosomal RNA is filed under the name uncultured bacterium. Its description in RNAcentral is "partial 16S ribosomal RNA". It matches the Rfam family "Bacterial small subunit ribosomal RNA", at positions 28 to 507 of the family's 1533-position model. The record is from RNAcentral.
GACGAACGCUGGCGGCGUGCUUAACACAUGCCAGUCGAACGCGCCUGUCCUCUGGGUUUCUGGGGGGUGGGUGAGUGGCGAACGGGUGAGUAACACGUGAGUAACCUGCCCCCUUCUUCGGGAUAACGGUCUGAAAGGGCUGCUAAUACCGGGUAUUCACUGGUCUCCGCAUGGGGUCUGGUGGAAAGGUUUUUUUCUGGUGGGGGAUGGGCUCGCGGCCUAUCAGCUUGUUGGUGGGGUGAUGGCCCACCAAGGCUUUGACGGGUAGCCGGCCUGAGAGGGUGCCCGGUCACAUUGGGACUGAGAUACGGCCCAGACUCCUACGGGAGGCAGCAGUGGGGAAUAUUGCACAAUGGGCGCAAGCCUGAUGCAGCGACGCCGCGUGAGGGAUGGAGGCCUUCGGGUUGUGAACCUCUUUCGCCCGUGGUCAAGCCGCGACGUGGGUCGUGGUGAGGGUAGUGGGUAAAGAAGCGCCGGCUAACUACGUG